RNAcentral lists this transfer RNA (71 nucleotides) under Candidatus Nealsonbacteria bacterium RBG_13_38_11. Its description in RNAcentral is "tRNA-Gln". It matches the Rfam family "tRNA". Rfam says of the family: Transfer RNA (tRNA) molecules are approximately 80 nucleotides in length. Their secondary structure includes four short double-helical elements and three loops (D, anti-codon, and T loops). Lineage: Bacteria; Candidatus Nealsoniibacteriota. RNAcentral also lists the same sequence under 1 other name. The record is from RNAcentral.
UGCCGGGUCGUCUAAUGGUAGGACAUCAGAUUUUGGAUCUGACUAUCUUGGUUCGAAUCCAAGCCCGGCAG